This 160-nucleotide ribosomal RNA is filed under the name uncultured bacterium. RNAcentral's name for it is "partial 16S ribosomal RNA". It matches the Rfam family "Bacterial small subunit ribosomal RNA", at positions 355 to 507 of the family's 1533-position model. The record is from RNAcentral.
UAGGGAAUCUUCCACAAUGGACGAAAGUCUGAUGGAGCAAUGCCGCGUGAGUGAAGAAGGGUUUCGGCUCGUAAAACUCUGUUGUUAAAGAAGAACACCCUUGAGAGUAACUGUUCAAGGGUUGACGGUAUUUAACCAGAAAGCCACGGCUAACUACGUG